Molecule: unclassified non-coding RNA, 276 nt
Filed under: plant metagenome
Description: partial contains small subunit ribosomal RNA, internal transcribed spacer 1, and 5.8S ribosomal RNA
Rfam family: Eukaryotic small subunit ribosomal RNA (bases 1-54)
Source: RNAcentral
GGAAGUAAGAGUCGUAACAAGGUUUCCGUAGGUGAACCUGCGGAAGGAUCAUUAACGAGCUAGGGUCUUCCAGGCCCGACCUCCCAACCCUAUGUUUAUUGAACCUCUGUUGCUUCGGCGGGCCCGUCUCACGGCCGCCGGGGGAGUCGCCGCGAGGCACCCUCUGGCCAGCGUCCGCCGAUGGCCAACCUCAAAACUCUGAAUGAAUCGUGUCAUGAUGUCUAAGUCUAUGAUUAAAUUAAAGCAAAACUUUCAACAACGGAUCUCUUGGUUCUG